AGUGGCAGACGGGUGCGUAACGCGUAUGCAACCUACCCUGUACAGAGGGAUAGCCCGGGGAAACCCGGAUUAAUACCUCAUAGUAUUAUUUUGUGGCAUCACGGGAUAAUUAAAGUUAAGGCGGUACGGGAUGGGCAUGCGUCUGAUUAGCUAGUUGGUGGUGUAACGGACCACCAAGGCGAUGAUCAGUAGGGGUUCUGAGAGGAUGAUCCCCCACACUGGCACUGAGAUACGGGCCAGACUCCUACGGGAGGCAGCAGUAGGGAAUAUUGGGCAAUGGUCGGAAGACUGACCCAGCCAUGCCGCGUGCAGGAAGAAGGCCUUCUGGGUUGUAAACUGCUUUUAACUGGGAAGAAAAGACCCAUGCGUGGGGCACUGACGGUACCAGUUGAAUAAGCACCGGCUAACUCCGUGCCAGCAGCCGCGGUAAUACGGAGGGUGCAAGCGUUGUCCGGAUUUAUUGGGUUUAAAGGGUGCGUAGGCGGCUUUAUAAGUCAGGGGUGAAAGCCGGCAGCUUAACUGUCGAAAUGCCUUUGAUACUGUAGAGCUUGAGUACAGAUGAGGUAGGCGGAAUUGAUGGUGUAGCGGUGAAAUGCAUAGAUACCAUCAGGAACACCGAUUGCGAAGGCAGCUUACUGGGCUGUAACUGACGCUGAGGCACGAAAGUGCGGGGAUCAAACAGGAUUAGAUACCCUGGUAGUCCGCACAGUAAACGAUGAUGACUCGCUGUGU
This 732-nucleotide ribosomal RNA is filed under the name uncultured Sphingobacteriales bacterium. RNAcentral's name for it is "bacterial SSU rRNA". It matches the Rfam family "Bacterial small subunit ribosomal RNA", at positions 94 to 825 of the family's 1533-position model. The record is from RNAcentral. Lineage: Bacteria; Pseudomonadati; Bacteroidota; Sphingobacteriia; Sphingobacteriales.